UUAAGCUACUAAGAGCAUAGGGAGAAUGCCUAGGUACCAAAAGCCGAAGAAAGACGUGAUAAGCUGCGAAAAGCCACGGGGAGAAGCAAAUAUUCAAUAAUCCGUGGAUGUCUGAAUGAGGAAACUCUAACCAAGAAAAAAGUUGGUUAAUCCAUACAUGAGUAAAGUAGUGUAUAGGAGGGGAACGUGGGGAACUGAAACAUCUAAGUACCCACAGGAAAAGAAAGAAAACUCGAUUCCUAAAGUAGUGGCGAGCGAAAUAGGAAGAGCCCAAACCAGAAGAAGAAAUUCAUCUGGGGUUCGGACUACAUAAUUGAUUCAAUGAGUUUAGUAAAAUUGUUUGGGAAAGCAAACCAAAGACGGUGAAAGUCCAGUAUACGAAAAACAAGUUGACAAGGUAGAAUCCAGAGUAGUGCGAGACACGUGAAAUCUCGUAUGAAAGAGCGGGGACCACCCCGUAAGGCUAAAUACUAAUUGGUAACCGAUAGUGAAGAAGUACCGUGAGGGAAAGUUGAAAAGAACCCCGGGAGGGGAGUGAAAUAGAACCUGAAACCCUAUGUUUACAAGCAGACAAAGCACGUUAAGGUGCGAUGUCGUACUUUUUGUAGAACGGUCCGGCGAGUUAUUUUAUAUGGCAAGGUUAAGUACUAAAGGUACGGAGCCGAAGAGAAAUCGAGUCUGAAGAGGGCGAAUAAGUCAUAUGAAAUAGACCCGAAACCGAGUGACCUAUCCAUGUCCAGGCUGAAGCUUGAGUAAAAUCAAGUGGAGGGCCGAACUCAUAGACGUUAAAAAGUCUCGGGAUGAGGUGUGGAUAGCGGAGAAAUUCCAAUCGAACUCGGAGAUAGCUGGUUCUCCUCGAAAUAGUUUUAGGACUAGCCUUGUUUCGUAGCAUUUGGGGGUAGAGCACUGAAUGAGGUAGGGGCCAACACGGUUACUGAACUCUAUCAAACUACGAAUACCAAAUGUGUAAGAACAAGAGUCAGACUGCGGGAGCUAAGUUCCGUGGUCAAAAGGGAAAGAGCCCAGAUCGUCAAUUAAGGUCCCAAAGAUAUAGUUAAGUGGAAAACGAUGUGAUUUUGCGUAAACAACCAGGAUGUUGGCUUAGAAGCAGCCAUUCAUUCAAAGAGUGCGUAAUAGCUCACUGGUCGAGUGAAGUUGCGCGGAAAAUUACCGGGGCUAAACUAUACACCGAAAUUGCGGAUUUGCAUAGAAAUAUGUAAGUGGUAGAGGAGCAUUCUAUAGUAGGACGAAGCAUAAUCGAAAGGAUAUGUGGACGAGAUAGAAGAGAGAAUGCCGGAAUAAGUAGCGAAAGCAUGGUGAGAAUCCAUGCCAUCGAAAGUCUAAGGUUUCCUGGGGAAGGUUCGUCCGCCCAGGGUAAGUCGGGACCUAAGGAGAGGCCGAAAAGCGUAUCCGAUGGACAGCAGGUAGAAAUUCCUGCACUACGUAAUACUUAAAAGACAUAAAUGACACAGGAGUGGAAGAUAAGCGAGGAAGAGGAAAGACUCGUAUCGAAAGAUAUAGUGAAAAUUAAAGUAACGAAUUAUCAAGAAGCUAAUGGCGAGAAAAGUUUAUGGAUAUUGUAUUAAGUACCCGUACCGCAAACCGACACAGGUAGAUGAGGAGAAGAUCCUAAGAUGAGCGAGAGAAGCAUUGUUAAGGAACUCGGCAAACUGACCCCGUAACUUCGGAAUAAGGGGUGCUGGAGUAAAAUCCAGUCGCAGAGAAUAGUCCCAAGCAACUGUUUAACAAAAACACAGGUUUCUGCUAAAUCGAAAGAUGAAGUAUAGGAGCUGACACCUGCCCAGUGCUGGAAGGUUAAGGGAAAGAGUUAGACGCAAGUCGAAGCUUAGAACUAAAGCCCCAGUGAACGGCGGCCGUAACUAUAACGGUCCUAAGGUAGCGAAAUUCCUUGUCAGGUAAGUUCUGACCCG
RNAcentral lists this ribosomal RNA (1931 nucleotides) under human gut metagenome. Its description in RNAcentral is "bacterial LSU rRNA". It matches the Rfam family "Bacterial large subunit ribosomal RNA", at positions 3 to 1990 of the family's 2925-position model. The record is from RNAcentral.